CAGCCUCCUCCCGCACUGGCCCCCGUACCAGCAGUUUCUGGAACAGACAAAUCACAGGGACCAUUUGGUAGGCUGAUGAAAGAAGAAAAGCAGGAAAAAGACAAGCUAAUGGGCCUUUAGGACUAUGGAGGAAGACAGGGAGGAAAGGUGCCAGUGGCCACACCUCCUGCCCCACCCUCACCUCUGGUUUGUAGGCUUUCCGGAAUCUGGAGGGCCCAUCAGGGCUGAAGACCUGGCCAGGUACACAGCUGACCACCACCGGCUGCCCAUUCUCACAGGCUAAAAACAAAAAGGAAUGAGAGCAGGAGGGAUCCCUGUGGCUGGAGUGAGAAAGAUGACCUCACAGAAGAGUGGGCUUUGAACUGGGCCUUGACUGAUGUAGCUUUGAAGAGAUGGAAGGGAGGACCCACAUGUGUGUGCGUGCUGUCCACCUCCCGGGGCCCACAUACUUGUCCCUGCUUGGCAAGACUCAUCAAGACGUCAGAGAAAGCCAGGCAGUCACUUGUCAGCUGCCAAGUGCAGGUACUCUGGGCAGGCUGGUCUGGUUGGGUCUCCAGUCCUCUGCUCCGCCAGCUGAGCUACCCAAGGGCACCCUGGGCAGACUCCUGGAUGGGCUGGAAGUGGAGUCCUGUCCCUGCUGGCCCAGCUGCUCUGGAAAUAUCUGCCUUGUGAAUGAGUUACAAACAUAGAGGAAGGGCAAAUCCUCCAGAUGCCAUCAUCAUCUCUCCUUGAUCCAAAUUUAAGACUUGUGACAAUUAUAGUAUAUCUAUAGGUACAACACAGAAUUACUGAAAUAAA
Molecule: long non-coding RNA, 798 nt
Organism: Fukomys damarensis (Damara mole-rat)
Lineage: Eukaryota; Metazoa; Chordata; Mammalia; Rodentia; Bathyergidae
Exons: 3
Source: RefSeq, a predicted model, not a curated record